RNAcentral lists this ribosomal RNA (496 nucleotides) under uncultured bacterium. Its description in RNAcentral is "partial 16S ribosomal RNA". It matches the Rfam family "Bacterial small subunit ribosomal RNA", at positions 28 to 506 of the family's 1533-position model. The record is from RNAcentral.
GAUGAACGCUGGCGGCGUGCCUAAUACAUGCAAGUCGAGCGAACAGACGAGGAGCUUGCUCCUCUGACGUUAGCGGCGGACGGGUGAGUAACACGUGGAUAACCUACCUAUAAGACUGGGAUAACUUCGGGAAACCGGAGCUAAUACCGGAUAAUAUAUUGAACCGCAUGGUUCAAUAGUGAAAGACGGUUUUGCUGUCACUUAUAGAUGGAUCCGCGCUGCAUUAGCUAGUUGGUAAGGUAACGGCUUACCAAGGCAACGAUGCGUAGCCGACCUGAGAGGGUGAUCGGCCACACUGGAACUGAGACACGGUCCAGACUCCUACGGGAGGCAGCAGUAGGGAAUCUUCCGCAAUGGGCGAAAGCUUGACGGAGCAACGCCGCGGGAGUGAUGAAGGUCUUCGGAUCGUAAAACUCUGUUAUUAGGGAAGAACAAAUGUGUAAGUAACUAUGCACGUCUUGACGGUACCUAAUCAGAAAACCACGGCUAACUACGU